Molecule: non-coding RNA, 82 nt
Organism: Protopterus annectens (West African lungfish)
Lineage: Eukaryota; Metazoa; Chordata; Ceratodontiformes; Protopteridae
Source: the annotation of a RefSeq genome assembly
GGUAGUGUGGCCAAGUGGUCUAAGGUGCUGGAUUAAGGCUCCAGUAUCUUUAGAGGUGUGGGUUUGAAUCCCACCACUGCCA